This 65-nucleotide transfer RNA is filed under the name Scoparipes salvazai. Its description in RNAcentral is "tRNA-Leu". Lineage: Eukaryota; Metazoa; Arthropoda; Insecta; Hemiptera; Cydnidae. The record is from RNAcentral.
GCUACUUUGGCAGAUUAGUGCAGUAAAUUUAGAAUUUAUUUAUGUAAUGGUUAUUACAGGUAGUA